AACGAACGCUGGCGGCAUGCCUAACACAUGCAAGUCGAACGAGACCUUCGGGUCUAGUGGCGCACGGGUGCGUAACGCGUGGGAAUCUGCCCUGGGGUGCGGAAUAACUCGGAGAAAUCCGUGCUAAUACCGCAUAAUGUCUUCGGACCAAAGAUUUAUCGCCCUGGGAUGAGCCCGCGUAGGAUUAGCUAGUUGGUGGGGUAAAGGCCUACCAAGGCGACGAUCCUUAGCUGGUCUGAGAGGAUGAUCAGCCGCACUGGGACUGAGACACGGCCCAGACUCCUACGGGAGGCAGCAGUGGGGAAUAUUGGACAAUGGGCGAAAGCCUGAUCCAGCAAUGCCGCGUGAGUGAUGAAGGCCCUAGGGUUGUAAAGCUCUUUUACCCGGGAUGAUAAUGACAGUACCGGGAGGAAUAAGCUCCGGCUAACUCCGUGCCAGCAGCCGCGGUAAU
This 451-nucleotide ribosomal RNA is filed under the name uncultured bacterium. RNAcentral's name for it is "bacterial SSU rRNA". It matches the Rfam family "Bacterial small subunit ribosomal RNA", at positions 29 to 524 of the family's 1533-position model. The record is from RNAcentral.